GGAUAAGACAACCCAACCAUCGGAGAACCGACCGCUGCCGCACCAGAGCACUUUCCGGCCGCAAACGAGGUAAAAUUUCUCCCAUUGGCUCGGAUUUCGAUGCUGAACCCCCUGUGGCUAAAUCGGAGCCAAACCAUCGGUCAAUUUGCUGGAAAAUGCUGCCGAAGCCCAGCGGCGCCGCCACAGGUUUUUUCGAUUUUUGCCUCCGAUGAGGUCCUUCCCAAUUCCCAUUCGAUGUAAUUUUUACACCACUGUGGCCACCGUCCUUUCCUCUACAGGUUGAUCGGAGCAAAACGCCAAAUCGCAACUCGUGCCGAAGGAGCCACCGCACCCGAGACCUCCGCCGCCGGUAAGUCUCGAUUUUCUGUAUUUUUUUGGCCCACCGAGGGCCUUACGUGUGUUUUCUUGCAGGAACUGGUGCUAGUUUGGCUGAAUUCGGUCGAAAAUAGCCGAAAACAGCCAACCCGAGGCGGAUCGCCGUCGUGGGCAGUGGCGCUGUUGCCGGAGCACGACGGAGCUGUCGUGCUGGAAUUUCAAAAUUGGCUGAGGAAGCCCUGGGUUUGAUUUGGAGGUUUUUGGGAACAUGUGCAGGUACCAGAAUUGUGUUUCAGUUCCUGAAAAAAAAUUCAGGGAAUUUAGGGACUGCCCAUAGGCACAAUAAAAAAUCGAUUUUAGACUUCGAAUCAAGUAAGGAUCUCUCACUCUAUUUCUUAUCACGGUAUUAAAGUCUAAUAAAUGAUAAAAUGGUAUUUUAUGAAUUCAUGGAUAUGUAUAAUUAAUUAAGGUUGCUAAUGGAGCCCGAAUCUGAUAUGUUUUUCAGUCAGUUCUUGUUUGAUUUAUUUUACAGUCUAAAUGCAGUGUAGUAUAUGAUUUAUUUAUUCUGUGGCUUCGUAUGCAUGAUUCACUGUUUAAUUUAUUAUGGUUUGAUUAUUGUGAACCCGAUGUUAUAUUUACUUUGUUUGGUAUUUGUUACUGGUUUACGUAUUUAUUUUUGAUUGGGUAAAUGAGACUAAGAACAAAUAGAAAUGGGAUUGAGUUGAUAAAUGGAUAGGUUAACAGCCUCACUAGACAUCCUGGGAGAUGGUGGAUGGACCAGGUCCAUAGGGAACCCUACCGGGAACGUUGUCUCUUAUACCGGAUGAGGUAUUGAGACUUUAAAUAUUUUGGCGCUCAUACCGAACAGGGUAUGGGGAGGCCCGCUUCACCCUCAUACCGGACGGGGUAUUGAGGUUUAUGAUUUUGGCCACUAUACAGGACGGGGUAUGGGGAUGGCCCUGGAGUUAAGUUAUUAAGGUGAAUGGUUCACGUGUAGCGAGGACCCCUGUGGAUCCCCAUGGACACUGGUAGACUGGUAAAAGAGGAAAUUUGUUGCUUGAUGAUUAAAAUAUUAAAAGUAUGACAUGUGUUAUGUUACAUAGUGCGUAUGAUUUCAUGAUAUUAUAAUGUUAUUAUUUUCAUAAGUUGUUUUCAUGAAUCUCACCGAAAUAAGUGGACAGUAAAAGGUUUUAUUAUUGAUAAAUGGAUUUUUUAUAAAUUAUGCUCCAUUAGUCGUUUUUGUUUUCUACCAACCUUUAUUCUGUGACAGUGAGAUAGUGUGACAUCUUUACUAGGCUAGUGUAGCUCAUUCCUUACUUAACCAUUUCAGAUCAGGAGGACUUGAUUUCCGAGCCCGUUCUGCAGGAAGACGGUGAGUAGAUGCCUAAGGAUUUCAUAAUUUUCCUUAUAGUAUUCAUUUCUAGUAUUUACUUUAGUUAGCUUAUUCUUUCAUGCGUUUAAUACGUUUUGGUUAUUGUGUAAGGAAUGUUAAUCAUAAUAUUUUAUUUCGCUUCCGCACUUAUAAUUUUAUAUAUGCAUUUUCUUUUAAUUUCCUGGGUCGUUACAGUGUAUUACAAAUUGUAAACUCUAAAAUGAAUUGUCACGU
This 1921-nucleotide long non-coding RNA is filed under the name Carica papaya (papaya). RNAcentral describes it as "long non-coding RNA (CPAP_LNC000214)". The record is from RNAcentral. Lineage: Eukaryota; Viridiplantae; Streptophyta; Magnoliopsida; Brassicales; Caricaceae.